RNAcentral lists this long non-coding RNA (693 nucleotides) under Homo sapiens (human). RNAcentral's name for it is "non-protein coding lnc-INTS6-7:1". Lineage: Eukaryota; Metazoa; Chordata; Mammalia; Primates; Hominidae. The record is from RNAcentral.
UCAAGGUGGCCUAAGAGAAAAUGUUGUUCCAGGCUUGUUGGCAGUUCCUACCUACACUGAUGUCAGGCACAGGGGAGUCUGGAAGCUGUUGAAAUGAGGACUUUUCCAGCUUGUGCCAUCAGGUUUUCUGCCUGGAUCUCCAACCCCAUUCCCAUCUGGAUUCUGAAGUCAAGACUUGGAAGUAAGAAAUGGUAACAUCAGUUGAGAUUGUCUUUGAAUGGAAGAGAUAUAAAUAGAAGAAUGCGGUAGCCGUUUUCCAUCUUGUCCACUUGGAAAUAUACUGAGAAAGGAAGUGUGCAGCGAGUGUGAGAGGUAAAGCAGAGCCUCAGAUAAGAGUGGGGACCAGGAGCAGAGAUUGAGAGAGGUGGGUCACUCUGAGGCCUGAGCCACUGUGGGAUCACCCAGCAUCCUCAUCUGCAAAUUACCCCUCCUGCUUAAACUGGCUGUAGUGGGUUUCCAGCGCUCAUACUUGAAGAGUUCACACAAAUACACCUGGACUGAGUAAUUCAAGGAACAAAAUUCAUUGCAUGAAGCAAUUUUCUUGGAAGCCUUUCUUGAAUCCCCUAAAUUGGGUUAGGAGCUCCUCUCAAACACAGCUGCUUCCCUUUCCCCAUGGACUUACUUGUAUCUUAGCCCUAGUUAUACUCUUCUUAAAAAUAUGUCUGUAUUAAAAAAGUUAUCUUUAAAACCCAC